CCUACGGGAGGUAGCAGUGAGGAAUAUUGGUCAAUGGGCGGAAGCCUGAACCAGCCAAGUAGCGUGCGGGAUGAAGCCCCUACGCGUCGUAAACCGCUUUUGCACGGGGAUAACACCCUCCACCUGUGGAGGUCUGCAGGUACCGCGCGAAUAAGGGCCGGCAAAUUCCGUGCCAGCAGCCGCGGUAAUACGGAGGAUGCGAGCGUUAUCCGGAUUCAUGGGGGUUAAAGGGCGCGCAGGCGGAGGCCGAAGUCAGCGGGCAAAUUGCGGGGCUAAACCCCGUACUGCCGUUGGAACUUCGUCGCUUGAGUGCGCGAGGAGUAUGCGGAAUGCGUGGUGUAGCGGUGAAAUGCGUAGAUAUCACGAAGAACUCCGAUUGCGAAGGCAGCAUACCGGCGCGCAACUGACGCUCAUGCACGAAAGCGUGGGUAUCGAACAGGAUUAGAUACCCUAGUAGUC
This 459-nucleotide ribosomal RNA is filed under the name uncultured bacterium. RNAcentral's name for it is "partial 16S ribosomal RNA". It matches the Rfam family "Bacterial small subunit ribosomal RNA", at positions 338 to 795 of the family's 1533-position model. The record is from RNAcentral.